RNAcentral lists this long non-coding RNA (1072 nucleotides) under Apteryx owenii (little spotted kiwi). Its description in RNAcentral is "lncRNA (ENSAOWG00000011170.1)". The record is from RNAcentral. Lineage: Eukaryota; Metazoa; Chordata; Aves; Apterygiformes; Apterygidae.
GUGAGCUCACCUGCAGGCCUGAAUGCUUGAUCUAGAGGCAGCUGCGGCGAUGCCAUCAGAUGAAUCUGGCCACAGACUUCAAGGAGAAGAGCAGUGAAAUGCUUUGCAAACUGCUACUAGUUAGUGCUCUCCACAGGGGUGAAGAUAUGAACUGCUGUUUAAGCUUUUUAAAAUUCAGAACUAGUUCCAACUUGUUCCUAAAAUGGUGCACUGAUUUAAUUCAAAUGUCUGAAUAAACAGUUGGAACAAAAUGUUCUUAAUUAGCGAUGCAACCCUCUGCCUUAACAGCUGUGGGCUGGGAAAGUUUCUUGGAUGCUCCCAGGUCUUGAAUCAAAAGGUAAGGAGAUGUGAUCUGAUCUUAGACCUAGUUAGCUGUGGCAGAAUCUAAGCCAUUAAAACUAACGGACCAAGUAAGGCUUGUAUAAAUCAUAAACAAGGGUGUCAAAUUUAUAUAAAAUCUGUUUAGGCUCAUUUUAUAUGGCAUAGGAAAUUUUAGUUAUCCGUACAGUGACAUGGCCCGAGCCUUCACAAAGCGAGAGCGUGGGUAUGUGUGAGAAAGACGUGAACCCUGUCCUUACAAUUGAAAUAAGCUGAGAGAGACAGAGGGUGGGGUGGUGGGCUUGGAGAAAGGAUGGUAGAAGAAAUAGGGCCAAGGAAUGACUUGAUGGAGACUGCGCCCCAGGGAAAUCGUAAGGACCACUGCAGGUCUCUGCAACCUCUGCCUUGGAAGAGUGCCUGUAACAGGUCCUAGCGUGGUGGCUAUGAUGGCAUGCAGCUCCCAUCUCAACAGUGGGCUAACACAGAGCGAGGAACUGCUGGGGCCCCCGGCUGCACCACACCUUCCACAGCUGCUGCUCAUGAAGACAAGGAGCCUGUUUACUCUGUCCCUGCCUUCUGUUGUCUCUGCGAGUGCUUGGCUUCCUGUCCUGCCAAGGAGCCCUUUGGCAGCAGCUGUUGCCUCUCCUUGCUCCAGCUGGUGCAUCUCRGAGUGGCCAUUAGGGCAGCAUCGUUGUUUACGCUGCAGGCCUUUCCUUCCUGUCACAUGCACAUGCAUCAGUGCUGACCGCAGUCU